This 497-nucleotide ribosomal RNA is filed under the name uncultured bacterium. RNAcentral describes it as "partial 16S ribosomal RNA". It matches the Rfam family "Bacterial small subunit ribosomal RNA", at positions 28 to 507 of the family's 1533-position model. The record is from RNAcentral.
GAUGAACGCUGGCGGCGUGCCUAAUACAUGCAAGUCGAGCGAACAGACGAGGAGCUUGCUCCUCUGACGUUAGCGGCGGACGGGUGAGUAACACGUGGAUAACCUACCUAUAAGACUGGGAUAACUUCGGGAAACCGGAGCUAAUACCGGAUAAUAUAUUGAACCGCAUGGUUCAAUAGUGAAAGACGGUUUUGCUGUCACUUAUAGAUGGAUCCGCGCCGCAUUAGCUAGUUGGUAAGGUAACGGCUUACCAAGGCAACGAUGCGUAGCCGACCUGAGAGGGUGGUCGGCCACACUGGAACUGAACCACGGUCCAGACUCCUACGGGAGGCAGCAGUAGGGAAUCUUCCGCAAUGGGCGAAAGCCUGACGGAGCAACGCCGCGUGAGUGAUGAAGGUCUUCGGAUCGUAAAACUCUGUUAUUAGGGAAGAACAAAUGUGUAAGUAACUAUGCACGUCUUGACGGUACCUAAUCAGAAAGCCACGGCUAACUACGUG